Long non-coding RNA from Gopherus flavomarginatus (Mexican gopher tortoise), 2183 nucleotides. RefSeq lists it as uncharacterized. NCBI's taxonomy places the organism in Eukaryota, Metazoa, Chordata, Testudines, Testudinidae. The transcript is spliced from 2 exons. The record is from RefSeq and is a predicted model, not a curated record.
ACAAUUUUGUUCCUGUUCUUCCCCGUCUGAUGGAGUGCAAGGAUUCAAAAGCAGGUUAGGGACAGUUCAGGGACAGAGGAAAAUCAAGGGGGAGCUCAGAGUGAUGUUCCCUCAUCUUCAGAGGAAUCAGGCAGCCUCACCCCCUCUGUGCAGCCUCCAGCCAGCCUUCUGCAAACUUGGUCAGGGACUGCUUUUCAAACACCCCCAAUAUUACAGCAGCCCUUGUCCUUGCCCUUGUGGACCCCCACUAGGUUACUUAACUCCAUGAGAGAGAAUGUUUCUGAGACACCUCUGAUAUUACAAGCCUCAUUGAGAACUUAUCUGGUUCUACUGGUUGCUGGGGAACAUGAGAUGGUUUUACCCAUACCCUGUUUGCAACUUCAAAUUUGUUUAACUGGUAGUGCACUAUGCCUCACUUAUGAGACAAUCCUGAGGCAGUGGAAAGAAUGUUCUGCACAAUCUUUUUCACUCAUGUGCCCACUUGGGCAAAUGUAAAUCAGUUAUUAGAUACUCUCAUGACAAAAGAUGAAAGACAAAAAGUAAAAGAAAAAUCUGCAGCUCAUUUAAAUGCACCUUGGCUAAUUACUGACCCUAACUGGAAUCCCAAUAAUCCAGCUCAAAAGACAAAGUUGGAUGGAUUUUUAAAAGCUGUUUUGAAUGGUAUUAGAGAUGCAGGGGAGGCUACUCCAAAUUGGAGCAAGGGGACUGCUUGUGUCCAGCAUCCAGAUAAGCACCUCUCUGACUUUUGUGCUCGACUGAUUUGUGAAGUUAAAAAGCAUGGGAAUUUAAAUCCUGAAACUGAUCAUGAAAAGAAGAUGGUUAAAAUGGUUUUCAUGUCACAAUGUGCAAAGGAUAUUGCAAAAAAAUUUAGAAAGCAUCCAGAUGGUACGCAAGGGAAAAGUUUGUCUGAAGUAGUUAGCAUUGCUACUAGAAUGUUUAAUGGGAAAGAGAAAAAAAAAGAAAAAGACAUAAGAAACGGGUUAAUUUAAAAAUCAUCUCGGCCCCGGGAUGGAAGGAGGGGGGUGCUCUGCGUUCAGGGUCAGGAAUCGGCGCGGACUGUGCUUGGUGCAGGGAGGGGCUGCUUUCGGCCCCAGCUGGCUGUGAAGGAAAAAAUAUAGACAGAGGCGAAGCAAAAAAAAUACAAGUUACAGAACUAAAAUUACAUUUGCAAAGCUUAACUGUCCAGUAAGAUCCAACAGUGUGCCUUUGUGACCCUGGAGUCGGUGUGGCUUGGUGACACCAAAGAAGCCACAGGCAGCCGACCUGGACUGGAAUCUCUGAAAGAGACGCCGCAGGAGAUUCCAGGGUGUAAAAGAACAGCCCUCCCAAAAGCAGAAGCAUGUUGGAAAUUCUGGACAAGCUGUAUACAGGAUAAUCUCCCUUCCACCUCUCCCCCUCCUCUGAACAUUAUACACAGAAGUGGCCAGUCUGAACGUACGUGUAUAAUCAGAGAAAACUGAUGCCAGCUAAACAGCAUUCAACGUACCAUGCAUUUACUGGCACAAUAAAAAUUAUGUUUUGUGUUCUAUGUUCUGUCUUGUGGUGUUUGUCUUGUGGCCGGAAUUUUUGUGUUUAAUAUUUUUAUAAAAUAAUCUAGUUUAAAAUCAAACAAAAAGGUUAAAUUAAAAUGCAGAUACUUGUUUUGUUCAACUUGGAAUACAAAGUGUUUAGAUAAAUCAGGAGAAUGUAAUAUACUAAAGUCUAAUGCAUUUCCUUAAGUAAGGAAAAAAAACUUUAUUGGUCAAAUUGUUAAUUGCAAAAAUUGUUGUUAAAAUUUGCAUACCAACAGUCUUUGAAAGCAAGGACAUGAAAAGUUAACCUACUCCCCAUAUUGUACAUGGGAUCUUUCUGGCUACCUCAGAUUUCUAGCCAGAGGGCUGGGAAUGGUGGAAGGCUAUUGAACUAGAGGUUGUAUUGAGUGAACUCCUCAAAGUGGGUGUGCUUGUCCUGGCUUGUUGCUCGAAAGCUCUGUAAUAAGGUUAUUUUAGUAAAAGGGUGUGUGUGGCAUAUAUUGAAUAAUAAGACUAAUGUACUGUAUAAUGACAAUGUGUAGGUGUUCAUUGUUGGAAAAAAGGUGUAUAAGUAAAAAGUGAAAGUUUCCUUUGCAGGUUAAAAGAAGCCAAGAAGGGAAGAAGCACAAAGAACAGAAUGAAUUAACUAAAAAAAUAAAAUAAAAUAAAAUA